Molecule: ribosomal RNA, 235 nt
Filed under: uncultured bacterium
Lineage: Bacteria
Description: partial 16S ribosomal RNA
Rfam family: Bacterial small subunit ribosomal RNA
Source: RNAcentral
UGAGUAACCUGCCCUUAACUCUGGGAUAAGCCUGGGAAACUGGGUCUAAUACCGGAUAUGACUCCUCAUCGCAUGGUGGGGGGUGGAAAGCUUUAUUGUGGUUUUGGAUGGACUCGCGGCCUAUCAGCUUGUUGGUGAGGUAACGGCUCACCAAGGCAACGAUGCGUAGCCGACCUGAGAGGGUGAUCGGCCACAUUGGAACUGAGACACGGUCCAGACUCCGUACGGGAGGNAG